This 399-nucleotide ribosomal RNA is filed under the name uncultured bacterium. Its description in RNAcentral is "bacterial SSU rRNA". It matches the Rfam family "Bacterial small subunit ribosomal RNA", at positions 30 to 429 of the family's 1533-position model. The record is from RNAcentral.
AUUGAACGCUGGCGGCAUGCCUUACACAUGCAAGUCGAACGGCAGCACGGGGGCAACCCUGGUGGCGAGUGGCGAACGGGUGAGUAACAUAUCGGAACAUACCCUAGAGUGGGGGAUAACGUAGCGAAAGUUACGCUAAUACCGCAUACGAUCUAAGGAUGAAAGUGGGGGAUCUUCGGGUCCCUUCAUGCUCAUGGAGUGGCCGAUAUCUGAUUAGCUAGUUGGUGAGGUAAAGGCUCACCAAGGCGACGAUCAGUAGCUGGUUUGAGAGAACGACCAGCCACACUGGAACUGAGACACGGUCCAGACUCCUACGGGAGGCAGCAGUGGGGAAUUUUGGACAAUGGGGCAACCCUGAUCCAGCAAUGCCGCGUGAGUGAAGAAGGCCUCGGUUGUAAG